UGCCAGACUCCUACGGGAGGCAGCAGUGGGGAAUAUUGCACAAUGGGGGAAACCCUGAUGCAGCAACGCCGCGUGAGUGAAGAAGUCAUUCGUGAUGUAAAGCUCUAUCAGCAGGGAAGAAAAUGACGGUACCUGAGUAAGAAGCCCCGGCUAACUACGUGCCAGCAGCCGCGGUAAUACGUAGGGGGCAAGCGUUAUCCGGAUUUACUGGGUGUAAAGGGAGCGUAGACGGCCGUGCAAGCCAGGGGUGAAAGCCCGGGGCCCAACCCCGGGACUGCCCUUGGAACUGCAUGGCUGGAGUGCGGGAGGGGCAGGCGGAAUUCCUAGUGUAGCGGUGAAAUGCGUAGAUAUUAGGAGGAACACCAGUGGCGAAGGCGGCCUGCUGGACUGCAACUGACGUUGAGGCCCGAAAGCGUGGGGAGCAAACAGGAUUAGAUACCCGUGUA
RNAcentral lists this ribosomal RNA (446 nucleotides) under uncultured bacterium. RNAcentral describes it as "bacterial SSU rRNA". It matches the Rfam family "Bacterial small subunit ribosomal RNA", at positions 329 to 792 of the family's 1533-position model. The record is from RNAcentral.